Trichomycterus rosablanca is the source of this 374-nucleotide long non-coding RNA. RefSeq lists it as uncharacterized. The record is from RefSeq and is a predicted model, not a curated record. The transcript has 3 exons. NCBI's taxonomy places the organism in Eukaryota, Metazoa, Chordata, Actinopteri, Siluriformes, Trichomycteridae.
UCCUCUUUUUCAACGGCUCGCGUCGCACUGUUGCUAUGGUGACGCUCGUUCCGCCGGCGCUGAAUCAGAGACUGGACGCUGGGCCACAGCUGGACAACCAGCGUCGGCGCGCACGCGUUUCUACAAGCACCAGCCAAACCCAGCUGUGGUAACAACUGGGCCGGAUCUGGCUACACUGAUUCUGGCCGAUUCUGACACUCGGCCGACUGUGCCGAUAGAAAAGUGGGAACUGGGCCAGAUGAUUGUGCUAGCUGGGAAAGGCUGCUUUUUGGUGGAACUGCCAGGAGAACUACAGUUCUUCAAUUCUCUAGUAACAAAGAGGUGAUGAAGAAGUUGCUGAUCAUCCUCCUGUUUCUCACAGGAGCGGCCCCCCU